UUGUCUCAAAGAUUAAGCCAUGCAUGUCUCAGUACAAGCCAAAUUAAGGUGAAACCGCGAAAGGCUCAUUAAAUCAGUUAUGGUUCCUUAGAUCGUACCCAUAUUUACUUGGAUAACUGUGGUAAUUCUAGAGCUAAUACAUGCAAACAGAGCUCCGACCGGAGACGGAAGGAGCGCUUUUAUUAGAACAAAACCAAUCGGUGGCGAUUUCGGUCGUCAUCGUACAAUUUGGUGAAUCUGAAUAACUUUGUGCUGAUCGCACGGUCUUGCACCGGCGACGCAUCUUUCAAAUGUCUGCCUUAUCAACUGUCGAUGGUAGGUUCUGCGCCUACCAUGGUUGUAACGGGUAACGGGGAAUCAGGGUUCGAUUCCGGAGAGGGAGCCUGAGAAACGGCUACCACAUCCAAGGAAGGCAGCAGGCGCGCAAAUUACCCACUCCCGGCACGGGGAGGUAGUGACGAAAAAUAACGAUACGGGACUCAUCCGAGGCCCCGUAAUCGGAAUGAGUACACUCUAAACCCUUUAACGAGGAUCAAUUGGAGGGCAAGUCUGGUGCCAGCAGCCGCGGUAAUUCCAGCUCCAAUAGCGUAUAUUAAAGUUGUUGCGGUUAAAAAGCUCGUAGUCGAAUCUGUGUCCCGUGCCGCCGGUUCAUCGUUCGCGGUGUCAACUGGCGUGUGGCGGGACGUCCUGUCGGUGGGCUUAGCUCGCGAGGGCGGCCCAAGUUUAAUUUCCCGCCGCGGUGCUCUUCAUUGAGUGUCGAGGUGGGCCGACACGUUUACUUUGAACAAAUUAGAGUGCUUAAAGCAGGCUAAAAUUACGCCUGAAUAUUGUGUGCAUGGAAUAAUGGAAUAGGACCUCGGUUCUAUUUUGUUGGCUUUCGGAACCCCGAGGUAAUGAUUAAUAGGAACGGAUGGGGGCAUUCGUAUUGCGACGUUAGAGGUGAAAUUCUUGGAUCGUCGCAAGACGGACAGAAGCGAAAGCAUUUGCCAAAAACGUUUUCAUUGAUCAAGAACGAAAGUUAGAGGUUCGAAGGCGAUCAGAUACCGCCCUAGUUCUAACCAUAAACGAUGCCAGCUAGCGAUCCGCCGACGUUCCUCCGAUGACUCGGCGGGCAGCUUCCGGGAAACCAAAGCUUUUGGGUUCCGGGGGAAGUAUGGUUGCAAAGCUGAAACUUAAAGGAAUUGACGGAAGGGCACCACCAGGAGUGGAGCCUGCGGCUUAAUU
RNAcentral lists this ribosomal RNA (1224 nucleotides) under Bolitophagus reticulatus. RNAcentral describes it as "SSU rRNA". It matches the Rfam family "Eukaryotic small subunit ribosomal RNA", at positions 32 to 1195 of the family's 1831-position model. Lineage: Eukaryota; Metazoa; Arthropoda; Insecta; Coleoptera; Tenebrionidae. The record is from RNAcentral.